UACGGAGGGUGCAAGCGUUGCUCGGAAUUAUUGGGCGUAAAGGGUAGGUAGGUGGUCUCGUUUGUCAGGGGUGAAAGCCUUGGGCUUAACUCAAGAAGUGCCCCUGAAACGGCGAGACUCGAGUACUGGAGAGGCUAGUGGAAUUCCCGGUGUAGCGGUGAAAUGCGUAGAGAUCGGGAGGAACACCAGAGGCGAAGGCGGCUAGCUGGACAGUUACUGACACUCAACUACGAAAGCGUGGGGAGCAAACAGG
RNAcentral lists this ribosomal RNA (253 nucleotides) under uncultured bacterium. RNAcentral describes it as "partial 16S ribosomal RNA". It matches the Rfam family "Bacterial small subunit ribosomal RNA", at positions 524 to 776 of the family's 1533-position model. The record is from RNAcentral.